This is a non-coding RNA of Aedes albopictus (Asian tiger mosquito), 58 nucleotides long. NCBI's taxonomy places the organism in Eukaryota, Metazoa, Arthropoda, Insecta, Diptera, Culicidae. The record is from Rfam.
UAGCCUAGUGGAUAAGGCUAUGGAUCGCCAAUCCGGAGACGGCGGGUUCGAUUCCCGU